This is an RNA transcript of Neocloeon triangulifer, 1731 nucleotides long. RefSeq lists it as uncharacterized. The record is from RefSeq and is a predicted model, not a curated record. The transcript is spliced from 10 exons. NCBI's taxonomy places the organism in Eukaryota, Metazoa, Arthropoda, Insecta, Ephemeroptera, Baetidae.
CAUCUGCAGGCGCACCGUCGUCAUUUCGGAGAACACAAUAGUUGUGCUGCGAAGGUCAACCAGUCCCACUACGGGCCGAGACUUCCAAACAAAAAUAAAGCGCCAUGCGCCAUUCACGCUAGAUCAGCAUAGCGACAUGCAUAAACCAGGAUAAUCAAGGAAAGCGUCCGAGCGCAGCAACAGACUUUGCACUGCGUUAAUAUUUUGACACGGACUUUGGCUCAUUUACUCAACAUGCUGUGCGGGCUCCACUUUUCACUUGAUCUCGACACAAACCAAUUAGCCCUAGCGGCUGGAUAUUUUAAAUUGUUGUGGCAAACACCGAUGCUGAUUCUUUUCAUGCUCACUAAAUGUAUACUCAGCAACAAUGAUAUUAUUCACCAGAAACUCGUUGAAGGUUUCGGGGAACGAAAUUUAGUAAAUUUGGAGACCACCUUGACUGUUUUUGUUUGGAACUGUAUCUGGAGUAUUUUUACACUUUUCCUCAUGAUCUACGGAGUUCGCAAGCUACAGAGAUGGCUGAUGAUUCCCUGGUUCUGCUGGCUCGUUUCCAGCACAUUGGGUUCCAUCGGUUUUUAUAUCAUCUUUAUUUAUUUCGCCUACGACACCGCGCUGACCACGUCCGCAAGUGACAUUUACGCCACAUUGCUUUUUACCCUUUACCACGUCAUUCUUAUUGUAAUCGACUUGUGCUUGGCGAGGAUCGUCUACGCGAGCUUCGGGGAAAUCGGAAGGAUUACCAGCGAAACGCCGAGAAACCUUGUUAAUGCUCAACCUGAGACUGAACUUUGACAUUUCAACGAAACAUUAUACAUAAAUUAUUUUCCAAUAAAAAUUAUCUGCACAAUAAAAACAUGCAUUUUUUUAUAAUGCAAUGGUCGGAAAUCAUUUUGUCAGGAUGGGUGCAGUGAAAGUUAAAUUUUCGUAUUAAAUACACAUUCAUUGAUGCGGUAGGAAAUGACUCGUGUACGUUUAAGCAAUUAUCCAAUCUCAUCAAAUCACAGACAGAGCUCGUAUUUAAAGCUGCGUGACAUUUUUAUUGAAACCAUUUUUUGCGUGAGCACCGACAAGACUGUUUCCUAUUUUGCGAUCGAAAAUGUUUCGCCAGCAAAAAUACUUCCUUCUACUUGACUGCAACCAGGCCGCAGUGGCCAUUGCAGUGUUUGAGAUCAUCGCCCGCGUGCCAUUAGCGUUUUCACUAAAGCUGGUCAACUUAGUGAUGCAAAAUAGCCCUGCGCUAUAUGAAGAAGCAGUGAAACAUAUUCGAGACAAGACAUACCAAAAAAUUCAAUGGCUAGCGAAUUUUGGGUUUAUCUACAAUGCAAUUGCAGCAUUUCUGACUCUCAUGAUAAUUAUAGCCGUAUUUGAAGGCAAAAAUAAAAAAUGGCUCAUGAUGCCUUGGAUGCUACUGGCCAUCUUUGAAUUCGUCAAAUCUACGCAUGCAUUUGUGCAAGGAGUUGAACUUAUUUACCAAAUUUCAACAAGUACACUGGCUUUAAUUCUGUUAUCGGCGGUAUUUAUCUUUGGGAUCAUCGUCCAAUGCUACAAGAUAGUGACGGUUAUUGCCAGUUUCCGGUUGCUGGGAGCAACUAAAAAAGAUGACAUUCAGCCUCUUGUGGAGCAACGGUCAGAAAUUAUUCAAGUGUAGAAAAAGGAAAAGAAAAUUUUUGUAGCUGUAUUUAUUUACUUUUUUUAAUUGCACGCCAAAUAAAAAUAAACAAUGAAAUGAAA